GGGCAAAGGCAUGGCUCAGCAAUUAGGAAUGCUUACUGCUCUUGCAGAGGAUGGGGGAUUAUUUCCCAACACUCCAUCAGACAGCUCACAACCACCCGGAGCUCCAGUUCUGAGGAAUCUGCUCACACUGCAAGCCCAGAUAUGCCUGCCUAGGGAUGGUGCUGCCCACAGUGGACUGUAUCCUCCUACAAUUAACAGAGAAUUCCACCGACUUGCCCACAGGCCACUCUGAUGAGGACAACUUCUCUAUUGAGCCUGGAAGCCAGAGAUGAUAGACUACAAGGCUGAGUUUAGAGAAGAUUCUUGUAGAAGACUUUUCUUUAUAUUAUAAAAGGUCUGAGCUUCCUUCAAAAUGAAAAUUACUAGCCGGAGCUGGGGAUAUGACUCUGCGUUCCAACCCCAGCAUCACAAAACAAAAGCAAAAAGCAAUGGAACAAAACCCAAACAUCAACUUACACAACCGUCACUCAAAUCUCUUUGUCCUCCCAGGGUGAAACUCAAUAUAGGCAAUUCCUGUGGAGGUAAAUGCUUUAAGAGCCUCGACGCCCCCACCCUCAAAAUGUGUAGUUUCUCCUUUUUGCUUAUUAAAGGCAUGCCACUCACUCACUAAUUCUUUGGCUUGCAGAACGUUCAAAGCUAACUUGCUAGCAAACUAUUGUUAAGUGCACAAUGCUCUCAAGAAUUGUCCCUGUGUUCUCUGUACCCGCUGAUCCUUUUUUGUCCCAUAGUUUCCAGACCAGGCGCUUUUCUGCUUACACAUCAUCUGUCAGGAACUGCCCAAUCUCUGCACAGGUCUCUAUCAUACCACAGUAAAACUUCACGUGCUAGGACAUCAAUAUCCCAGAGGCUAUGCCUCCGUAAUUUUGCAAGCAAAACCCCAAAGUGAGGUUUGUGAAAGCAGGUUUUUUUAAAAGCCAAGACUCUGUGAUCUAGAAUUACCGAUGGUGAGUUUUGCUUGGCCCAAGACUAAAACUCAGAGUAAUUCGAAGAACCUGCACCCACCUUCCCAACUACCACUCACUCCACAGUAAACAGUGCUUCUUGUUAAAAGGCUGAGAAGGAUGAGAUGUGGACAUCAGCCAAUUCAAGGCUUUGUUUCCUGCCCAACAUCAGCCUAACAGUCCAACAUCACCUUCAUCUGCCACAGCUACAUGCCACAGCUGUGUCAUGCAAUAAGAUGGCGGCUGGGAGCACACGGCUGCUGGGUGUGGAUAUUUGCAUGCAUGUGGGUAGUGUGACCAAGAAACUUAACUGCUAAUUUAUGGUAGGCAGUUACAGGGUCUGGCACAUAGUUCAAGAGUAGACUGUCUGCCUAGCUUCCC
This 1322-nucleotide long non-coding RNA is filed under the name Mus musculus (house mouse). RNAcentral's name for it is "predicted gene 45576". The record is from RNAcentral. Lineage: Eukaryota; Metazoa; Chordata; Mammalia; Rodentia; Muridae.